Molecule: long non-coding RNA, 538 nt
Organism: Polypterus senegalus (gray bichir)
Lineage: Eukaryota; Metazoa; Chordata; Cladistia; Polypteriformes; Polypteridae
Exons: 3
Source: RefSeq, a predicted model, not a curated record
UAUAUCCCUGUCUAGUGGGCUUUUGCUACUUUUUGGGACUUACUGUACAUGUCUUGGGACUCCAAGUCAUACCAAAGAGAUGAUAUUUCUAAGAAGGCUGACAGACAUAAUCCUUCCAGCAUCCCUUGAGAGGCUGAAGAUGUCCAUAGGAGAUAUGAAAACCAUUAGACCUGUAAGAAUACGGUAGAGUACUGUAAAUUAAACUGAAAGAAAAAUUUGUGGCUCUCCCCCUCCAUCAUCCCUACCAGGAACCGCCCACAUGGACCUGCCCCUUCCAUCCACAACACAUUUAAACUGUGUAAGGGAUUGCCGGCCGUGUAUCCCAGCCAACACCCCCAAACCGCCAGAUGGAGCCAUCCCUGCAACAUGAAAGGGCCCUGAAUUCCAGCAGGGCAUCCUGGAACUUGGAGUCUUUCACCACAACCUUGCUGGAUACCAUGGGGGCCACCGGAGGACGCUGCAGGGAGGCCCAGGGACUUAUAUUUUCCUUAUAGCCCGGAAUUAAUUGACGAUUGCGGAAAUAGAAGGAAUGAUAUAC